GUGGUUGACCUUGUCUGCUGGCCUGCCUGAGCCAUAAACCCCUGGGGCGACUUUGGCCUGUGAGCCUGGAGAGGCUUCUGGUCCUGGGGGUGGUGCCCUGAAUGUGGAGUCGCAAAACCCUAACACCUGUUCCAGAUCUGCGGGGCAGCAUCAGAUAAGCAAACUAAGGCUUGGAGAGCUGAGAGCUGAGAUCACAGGCCCAGGCUGUAAGAGGGAAGGUGGGACCAGAAAGAAUCCACAUUGCUCUCACCACCUCAAGAACUCUGAGGGCUGUGCUCACCGCUGUUCUGAAGCAUCACUUCCGCUCUGAAGAUCAGGGCAGCCCGAUUUCCCACGCGAGAGCGGAUAGGGCUGCCCCUGGGAUCUGAGCCAUGUCUGUGACCUACCCCACAGCUCACAACCAUGCUGGAUCCUUAACCAACUGAACAAGGCGAGGGAUCGAACCCUCACCCUCCUGGAUGGGUUGGGUUCAUUACCGCCGAGCCACGACAGGAAUUCCUCUUUAGUUCUUGUUUUAUUCAUUCAUUCAUUCAUUCAUUCAUUCAUUCAUUUACUUAUUUAUUAUGGCCCCAGAGUGGCUUAUGGAAGUUCCUCAGCCAGGGGCCUGAAUCCACAGCCACGCCAGAUCCUUUAACCCACUGCUUCGGGAUGGGAAUUGAACCCACGCCUCUGCAGUGACUGGAGCUGCUGCAGUCGGAUUCUUAACCCACUGUGUCACAGCAGGAACUCCUUGUUUCCUUGAUUUAAGUCCUCUUGUCUCCCCUCAUGACCGGCAGAGCUCUUCCUCCUGCUGCCCUGACCUGCUUCGGGGUCAGACGCUAUGACACCUCCUCCAGGAAGCCCUUCCUGGUUUCCACUGCCUGCGGAGACCCCAGUCUUCAGAGAGUCCCAGAGCCUGCCUCUCAGAGCCUCUCAUCUGGCUUUCAGGGUGCAAAGCCCCUCCUCCUGGAGGUGCCAUGUCCCCACAGGGCACUCCUGCCCAGUUCAGCCUCCGCCCUGGCCCCUGUGAGACUCCCCAGCACCAGCAGGAUAAAUCACCCUCUUCUCUGGGCUAGGCUGGGCCUUUGGGUUUGUUCUGUUGCCCCCUCGUUCCGCAUCUGCCUCCUGCGGGCUGGUCAUCACGCAGACGGGAUUGAAGAAGGCAUGUCCCCCCGGCCUCCCUCUCAGGGUGGAGCAGCCAUCAUUCCUGGUGCUCAGCUGCCCGGAAGUCUCCCUUUCAUCCUCAUGAUGGUUAAUUUCAUGUGUCCACUUGCCUGGGCUAAGGGAUGUCCAGACAGCUGGUCACACAUCACUUCUGGGUGUGUCUGUGUGGAAGGUUCCAGAAGAGAGGAGCACUGGAAUCGAUGGACUGAGUGAAGAAGUAGAUGGGCAUCACCCGUUCCCCGAGGACGCAAACAGAACAUAAAGAUGAGCCACGUGCUCUCUGAGCUGGGACCUCCGCCUUCUGCUUUUGGGCAUCACGCUUCUAAGCUCCGCAGAACUUUAGACCCAGACUGAAUUCUACCACCCACUUUCCUGCUUCUCCAGCUUGCAGAUGACAGACUGCGGGGGUUUGGAGCCUCAUAAUUGCAGGAACUAAUUCUUGUACUAAAUGUAUAUAAAAUGUAUGUUUAUAUAGAAAA
This 1622-nucleotide long non-coding RNA is filed under the name Sus scrofa (pig). Its description in RNAcentral is "lncRNA (ENSSSCG00050015855.1)". Lineage: Eukaryota; Metazoa; Chordata; Mammalia; Artiodactyla; Suidae. The record is from RNAcentral.